Non-coding RNA from Pelobates cultripes (western spadefoot toad), 248 nucleotides. The record is from the annotation of a GenBank genome assembly. Lineage: Eukaryota; Metazoa; Chordata; Amphibia; Anura; Pelobatidae.
AAGACAUUGUGCUGCCUUAUUCACCCACACAAGCACCUUGACACAGUCACACAUAUAUGCACUAGGUUGGCAAAAACACAUGGGCGGCAGGGUAAUACUAUUAAUGCAAUAAAUGCAAAAUCCUUGUAUAUCAUGCCAAUGAGCAGCAACUGCAUAAACGUGAUAUAUCAUGCCAAUGAAGCAAUAAAUACAUAAACUUGGUAUAUCAUGCCAAUGAGCAGUAAAUGCAUAAAUCCUUUAUAUCCUGC